UGGGAACGUGCCUUUUGGUUCGGAACAACCCAGGGAAACUUGGGCUAAUACCGGAUAAGCCCUUACGGGGAAAGAUUUAUCGCCAAAAGAUCGGCCCGCGUCUGAUUAGCUAGUUGGUGGGGUAAUGGCCACCAAGGCUACGAUCAGUAGCUGGUCUGAGAGGAUGAUCAGCCACAUUAGGACUGAGACACGGCCCAAACUCCUACGGGAGGCAG
RNAcentral lists this ribosomal RNA (215 nucleotides) under uncultured bacterium. RNAcentral's name for it is "partial 16S ribosomal RNA". It matches the Rfam family "Bacterial small subunit ribosomal RNA", at positions 118 to 351 of the family's 1533-position model. The record is from RNAcentral.